GAUGAACGCUAGCUACGAGGCUAACACAUGCAGUCGAGGGCAUCGGGAAGAAGGCUUGGCUUACGUUGCCGGCGACCGGCGCACGGGUGAGUAACACGUAUCCAACCUGCCCUUUACUCGGGGAUAGCCUUUCGAAAGAAAGAUUAAUACCCGAUAGCAUAAUGAUUCCGCAUGGUUUCAUUAUUAAAGGAUUCCGGUAAAGGAUGGGGAUGCGUUCCAUUAGGUUGUUGGUGAGGUAACGGCUCACCAAGCCUUCGAUGGAUAGGGGUUCUGAGAGGAAGGUCCCCCACAUUGGAACUGAGACACGGUCCAA
RNAcentral lists this ribosomal RNA (313 nucleotides) under uncultured bacterium. RNAcentral's name for it is "bacterial SSU rRNA". It matches the Rfam family "Bacterial small subunit ribosomal RNA", at positions 28 to 334 of the family's 1533-position model. The record is from RNAcentral.